This 253-nucleotide ribosomal RNA is filed under the name uncultured bacterium. RNAcentral's name for it is "partial 16S ribosomal RNA". It matches the Rfam family "Bacterial small subunit ribosomal RNA", at positions 524 to 776 of the family's 1533-position model. The record is from RNAcentral.
UACGGGGGGGGCAAGCGUUGUUCGGAAUUACUGGGCGUAAAGCGUGUGUAGGCGGCUUUGCAAGUCGGAUGUGAAAGCCCCGGGCUCAACCCGGGAAGUGCACUCGAUACUGCGAAGCUUGAGUGUCGGAGAGGUUGGUGGAAUUCUCGGUGUAGAGGUGAAAUUCGUAGAUAUCGAGAGGAACACCGGUGGCGAAGGCGGCCAACUGGACGAACACUGACGCUGAGACACGAAAGCGUGGGGAGCAAACAGG